CCAGCAGCCGCGGUAAUUCCAGCUCCAAUAGCGUAUAUUUAAGUUGUUGCAGUUAAAAAGCUCGUAGUUGGAUUUCGGGUACGAUCCGGGCGGUCCGCCUCUGGUGUGCACUGCCGUGGUGUCUGCCUUUCUGUCGGGGACGGGCUCCUGGGCUUAACUGACCGGGACCCGGGUUCGACGAGGUUACUUUGAGUAAAUUAGAGUGUUCAAAGCAGGCGUUCGCCCUGAAUACAUUAGCAUGGAAUAGCACGAUAGGACUCUGGCCUAUUCUGCUGGUCUGUAGGACCGGAGUAAUGAUUAAGAGGGACAGUCGGGGGCAUUCGUAUUUCAUUGUCAGAGGUGAAAUUCUUGGAUUUAUGAAAG
RNAcentral lists this ribosomal RNA (363 nucleotides) under uncultured eukaryote. RNAcentral describes it as "SSU rRNA". It matches the Rfam family "Eukaryotic small subunit ribosomal RNA", at positions 567 to 934 of the family's 1831-position model. The record is from RNAcentral.